This 579-nucleotide ribosomal RNA is filed under the name uncultured bacterium. Its description in RNAcentral is "bacterial SSU rRNA". It matches the Rfam family "Bacterial small subunit ribosomal RNA", at positions 337 to 916 of the family's 1533-position model. The record is from RNAcentral.
UCCUACGGGAGGCAGCAGUGAGGAAUCUUGCGCAAUGGGCGAAAGCCUGACGCAGCCACGCCGCGUGCCGGAUGAAGGCCCUAUGGGUUGUAAACGGCUUUUAAGCGGGAAGAACGACCGGAUUUCGAUCUGGUGUGACGGUACUGCUUGAAUAAGCACCGGCUAACUCCGUGCCAGCAGCCGCGGUAAUACGGAGGGUGCAAGCGUUGUCCGGAAUCAUUGGGUGUAAAGGGUGCGUAGGCGGGCGUCUAAGUCUGGGGUGAAAUCUUGCCGCUUAACGGUAAAAUGGCCUUGGAUACUGGGCGUCUUGAGUGUAGAAGAGGUAAGUGGAAUUCGUAGUGUAGCGGUGAAAUGCAUAGAUAUUACGAAGAACAUCAGUGGCGAAGGCGGCUUACUGGUCUACAACUGACGCUGAGGCACGAAAGCGUGGGGAGCGAACAGGAUUAGAUACCCUGGUAGUCCACGCUGUAAACGAUGCAUACUAGGUGUUGGCCUUUCGGGGCCAGUGCUGCAGUUAACGCAUUAAGUAUGCCACCUGGGGAGUACGUCGGCAACGAUGAAACUCAAAUGAAUUGACGG